Molecule: ribosomal RNA, 230 nt
Filed under: uncultured Alicycliphilus sp.
Lineage: Bacteria; Pseudomonadati; Pseudomonadota; Betaproteobacteria; Burkholderiales; Comamonadaceae
Description: partial 16S ribosomal RNA
Rfam family: Bacterial small subunit ribosomal RNA
Source: RNAcentral
AGAGAUGCACUGGGUUUAAAGCGUGCGCAGGCGGUUUUGUAAGACAGAGGUGAAAUCCCCGGGCUCAACCUGGGAACUGCCUUUGUGACUGCAAGGCUGGAGUGCGGCAGAGGGGGAUGGAAUUCCGCGUGUAGCAGUGAAAUGCGUAGAUAUACGGAGGAACACCGAUGGCGAAGGCAAUCCCCUGGGCCUGCACUGACGCUCAUGCACGAAAGCGUGGGGAGCAAACA